GUGAUUUUUGCUGGUUCCCUCUGCCCACAAGCAACUUCAUCCGACGAUGGGCAUAAAUAUCAAUUUACGCCCAUUUUUUGUUGUUGUUGUUGUGUCUUGGGCAACAUCUGUUCCAAUGUGCCCAUAGGCAGAGGGCCCUGUCAAAGCCCAAGUGGAUCUGGAUCUGGGGCUGGCCUGUCCAUCAUCAUCGUUGCCCGAUUAUUGUUGUUGCACUGGGCCCUGUUCGUUGUCCCUGGGCCCUGGGCCCUGGGGUACGGCACGGUACGGUACGGGGGCCAAUCAGUCAGCGAGGCACUCAGCGAAGCGUGA
RNAcentral lists this long non-coding RNA (309 nucleotides) under Drosophila guanche. Lineage: Eukaryota; Metazoa; Arthropoda; Insecta; Diptera; Drosophilidae. The record is from RNAcentral.